AUUGAACGCUGGCGGCAUGCCUUACACAUGCAAGUCGAACGGUAACGGGCCUUCGGGUGCCGACGAGUGGCGAACGGGUGAGUAAUACAUCGGAACGUGCCCGAUCGUGGGGGAUAACGAGGCGAAAGCUUUGCUAAUACCGCAUACGAUCUACGGAUGACAGCAGGGGACCGCAAGGCCUUGCGCGGACGGAGCGGCCGAUGGCAGAUUAGGUAGUUGGUGGGAUAAAAGCUUACCAAGCCGACGAUCUGUAGCUGGUCUGAGAGGAUGAUCAGCCACACUGGGACUGAGACACGGCCCAGACUCCUACGGGAGGCAGCAGUGGGGAAUUUUGGACAAAGGGCGCAAGCCUGAUCCAGCCAUGCCGCGUGCAGGAUGAAGGCCUUCGGGUUGUAAACUGCUUUUGUACGGAACGAAAAGCCUUCUUUUAAUACAGGAGGGUCAUGACGGUACCGUAAGAAUAAGCACCGGCUAACUACGUG
Molecule: ribosomal RNA, 482 nt
Filed under: uncultured bacterium
Lineage: Bacteria
Description: partial 16S ribosomal RNA
Rfam family: Bacterial small subunit ribosomal RNA
Source: RNAcentral